GAUGAACGCUGGCGGCGUGCCUAAUACAUGCAAGUCGAGCGAACGGACGAGAAGCUUGCUUCUCUGAUGUUAGCGGCGGACGGGUGAGUAACACGUGGAUAACCUACCUAUAAGACUGGGAUAACUUCGGGAAACCGGAGCUACUACCGGCUAAUAUUUUGAACCGCAUGGUUCAAAAGUGAAAGACGGUCUUGCUGUCACUUAUAGCUGGAUCCGCGCUGCAUUAGCUAGUUGGUAAGGUAACGGCUUACCAAGGCAACGAUGCAUAGCCGACCUGAGAGGGUGAUCGGCCACACUGGAACUGAGACACGGUCCAGACUCCUACGGGAGGCAGCAGUAGGGAAUCUUCCGCAAUGGGCGAAAGCCUGACGGAGCAACGCCGCGUGAGUGAUGAAGGUCUUCGGAUCGUAAAACUCUGUUAUUAGGGAAGAACAUAUGUGUAAGUAACUGUGCACAUCUUGACGGUACCUAAUCAGAAAGCCACGGCUAACUACGUG
This 497-nucleotide ribosomal RNA is filed under the name uncultured bacterium. RNAcentral's name for it is "partial 16S ribosomal RNA". It matches the Rfam family "Bacterial small subunit ribosomal RNA", at positions 28 to 507 of the family's 1533-position model. The record is from RNAcentral.